AGGGGAAUCAUCCAGUGGUAGGAUGACAGUCUCCAAAACUGUUCACGGGGGUUCGAAUCCCUCUUCCCCUG
Molecule: transfer RNA, 71 nt
Filed under: Lachnotalea sp.
Lineage: Bacteria; Bacillati; Bacillota; Clostridia; Lachnospirales; Lachnospiraceae
Also listed under: 2 other names
Description: tRNA-Trp
Rfam family: tRNA
About the family: Transfer RNA (tRNA) molecules are approximately 80 nucleotides in length. Their secondary structure includes four short double-helical elements and three loops (D, anti-codon, and T loops). Further hydrogen bonds mediate the characteristic L-shaped molecular structure. tRNAs have two regions of fundamental functional importance: the anti-codon, which is responsible for specific mRNA codon recognition, and the 3' end, to which the tRNAs corresponding amino acid is attached (by aminoacyl-tRNA synthetases). tRNAs cope with the degeneracy of the genetic code in two manners: having more than one tRNA (with a specific anti-codon) for a particular amino acid; and 'wobble' base-pairing, i.e. permitting non-standard base-pairing at the 3rd anti-codon position.
Source: RNAcentral